ACUACGGGAGGCAGCAGUGAGGAAUAUUGGUCAAUGGGAGAGAUCCUGAACCAGCCAAGCCGCGUGAGGGAAGACGGCCCUAUGGGUUGUAAACCUCUUUUGUCGGAGAACAAAACCCGGGACGUGUCCCGGACUGCGUGUAUCCGAAGAAAAAGCAUCGGCUAACUCCGUGCCAGCAGCCGCGGUAAUACGGAGGAUGCGAACGUUAUCCGGAUUUAUUGGGGUUAAAGGGUGCGUAGGCGGUCCGUUAAGUCAGCGGUAACAUUGAGAGGCUCAACCUCUUCGAGCCGUUGAAACUGGUUUUCUUGAGUGAGCGAGAAGUAUGCGGAAGGCGUGGUGUAGCGGUGACAUGCAUAGAUAUCACGCAGAACUCCGAUUGCGAAGGCAGCAUACCGGCGCUCAACUGACGCUCAUGCACGAAAGUGUGGGUAUCGAACAGGAUUAGAUACCCGAGUAGUC
Molecule: ribosomal RNA, 459 nt
Filed under: uncultured bacterium
Lineage: Bacteria
Description: partial 16S ribosomal RNA
Rfam family: Bacterial small subunit ribosomal RNA
Source: RNAcentral